UUCCUACGGGACGCAGCAGUAGGGAAUCUUCCACAAUGGACGAAAGUCUGAUGGAGCAACGCCGCGUGAGUGAAGAAGGGUUUCGGCUCGUAAAGCUCUGUUGGUAGUGAAGAAAGAUAGAGGUAGUAACUGGCCUUUAUUUGACGGUAAUUACUUAGAAAGCCACGGCUAACUACGUGCCAGCAGCCGCGGUAAUACGUAGGGGGCAAGCGUUGUCCGGAUUUAUUGGGCGUAAAGAGAGUGCAGGCGGUGUCAUAAGGCCGAUG
This 266-nucleotide ribosomal RNA is filed under the name uncultured bacterium. RNAcentral describes it as "partial 16S ribosomal RNA". It matches the Rfam family "Bacterial small subunit ribosomal RNA", at positions 336 to 594 of the family's 1533-position model. The record is from RNAcentral.